This 2063-nucleotide long non-coding RNA is filed under the name Canis lupus familiaris (dog). RNAcentral's name for it is "lncRNA (ENSCAFG00000053611.1)". Lineage: Eukaryota; Metazoa; Chordata; Mammalia; Carnivora; Canidae. The record is from RNAcentral.
GAGUACCCGUCUUUGUCACCAAGGGAGCAAUAAUUUUUACCGUGGUAACAACAGCCACAUUUCUGCCUCUAAAAAUCCCCAGAAGUAAACCCUGUUUCUGACAGUUCUUUGCCCUCAUUCAAAGCCUCACCAUAGUUGAACCUAUAUACUGAUUUGUGAUCUAUAGUACUUAGAUUAAUCCCUAGAGACCCUAAAAGAUUUCAAGAUUAUAUUAUAAUGAAGGUUGAAUAAUUUUUAAUUAAUAAAAUCUUUAUGGAAUAAUUUUUAACUAACACUCAUGAGAAUCAGACACUACUUAUAAUGAUAAAGUAUCAUUUAAAAUGCAAACUCUGCAGACAUACUAGGGAAUAACCACAUUAAUUACUCACUACAAGCCAUUAAAAUGUUUCGUAGAGAUGCUUCAUGCAGUCUCCACCACCUGGGAUGCCCUUCUGCUUUCUCCCUGAUAAUUCAAGUCUAUUGUUGCCUUCAAGACCCAACUUCAAUCUCACUUUUUGCAAGAAGACUUCUCUUUCCAGCUCCACUAGCACAUAAAUGCAUACAGGUCACUCUAUAAUUAAGUUCUUUUAGGUUUAACACUAUCUCUUCUAUUUUGUUUUCUUUGCAGAGCUUACUAAAACAGUUUAAAUACAAAAGAUUAAAUACCCCACAGAGUGCAAGAUACCAUACUGUCCAUGCCAAUGGAUAAAUACCAAGAAAGUAAAUUUAUCAGUUCAUCAGUCAAUGCAUAAAGCCAUAUAUUUGGAACCCUGAAAGUCAUACACUGGAGCUUAAGUUUACCAAAUAGUAUUAUUCUUGCCUAAAAGGUAUAGAUUCAGAUUGGAAGUAAUGAGAUAGGAGUUCAAGCUGUGUUUGGCCAUUUAACCAAACAUUAGACAAGUUAUUUUACAUGUCUUAGAAAUCAUUUUCCUCGUUUUUUAAAGUGCAAUACUAAAUUAAAUGAGAGAAUGAAUGAGCAAAGAUCUCAUAAGUGAUGUGUUAGUCAUCACCAGUAUUAUUUAAAUGAAGAAAAAAGAAAUUAGGCACAGGAAAAAUCUGUGCAGUAAGCUUGGUCUAGAGAUUCUGAAACAUGCACUUAGAAAUAUAAUAUUUGAACCAAACAAAGGUAUUGUUGUUCCUUAGUAUUCAGUGUAUUUGUAUUCUCUAGCUUAUUAUGUUGUAAUUGAUAGCAAAGCUAUAAAUGGCUUUGGGGAUUGCUUCAUAUCUCACAUUAUUUCCUUGCCGUGGAAUAACGUAAUCAAGUGGAAAUAGAGAAAAUUUUUUGUCAAAGAUUUUUUUCUCUAGGCAAGAUGCUGCUUCUUUCUAAGUAUCUUUUGGCUGUUGACUAUUUUAUAACAAUUGGUAUAAAUAUAAAAUGGUAAGCAAUGUUUAUUGUUUGCACACAAGUGAGUCUGAAUUGGGGGCUUUUACUGCCAGUCAUUCCCAAUGCAAUCUCAAGAAUGUAAUAGGCAAUCAGACAGUGAUUUAUCUGACCCAUUAUUGAAAAAGAACCAAGAAAAAUCUAAACAUCAUUUGGCUCACUCAUGUGCACAUUGCAAAUGCAAAACAGUGAAUUAUCUGAGCUUUGUCAUGAUUUUCUAUGCUAUAAACAUAUUUAGUAUUUGAAAAUUUGUUUUUAUUGCUGCCCUUAAUUUUUCUUUGUUCAACUGUAGAAAGAUAAACAGGAGGAAAAUAAAUGUAAUGGAGUUUCCUAAAGGAAAGAUAUCUAAAAAUCAAGCCAGUGGCUGCACUAGAAAAUUAAUUUUAUAAGCUUUCGUGGGGUGAGGUGUAUUGUUGCAAUGUCAUGACUAAAUUCCAGCUAGGGUGAUUACUUCCGUCUAUACUGCCAGCAGGAAAUGCCUCCCGUGGUCUGGCCAUUGGACUCUAUCACACCACUAAAACUGUUGGGUAAGUGGUCCACUAAGCAGCCGUCACGUGGUUACAUUUCAACUGAAGGUGAAGUAGGCUUGUGCAUUGAGUGUGUUUUAAUUCCAAAACAAAGGCCAAAUCACACACUAUGCUUUUAGUUAUUUAUUUAUGAAGAAUGAUUAUGUUAUUAAGUUCAUAUAACCAAAAAAAAAAAA